This 335-nucleotide unclassified non-coding RNA is filed under the name soil metagenome. Its description in RNAcentral is "partial contains 5.8S ribosomal RNA, internal transcribed spacer 2, and large subunit ribosomal RNA". The stretch from base 1 to 120 matches the Rfam family "5.8S ribosomal RNA", at positions 35 to 154 of the family's 154-position model. The record is from RNAcentral.
GAUGAAGAACGUAGCGAAACGCGAUAAGUAAUGUGAAUUGCAGAAUUCAGUGAAUCAUCGAAUCUUUGAACGCACAUUGCGCCCGCCAGUAUUCUGGCGGGCAUGCCUGUUCGAGCGUCAUUUCAACCAUCAAGCCCCCGGCUUGUGUUGGGGACCUGCGGCUGCCGCAGGCCCUGAAAACCAGUGGCGGGCUCGCUAGUCACUCCGAGCGUAGUAAUACAUCUCGCUCAGGGCGUGCUGCGGGUUCCGGCCGUUAAAAAGCCUUAUUUACCCAAGGUUGACCUCGGAUCAGGUAGGAAGACCCGCUGAACUUAAGCAUAUCAAUAAGCGGAGGA